This 490-nucleotide ribosomal RNA is filed under the name uncultured bacterium. Its description in RNAcentral is "partial 16S ribosomal RNA". It matches the Rfam family "Bacterial small subunit ribosomal RNA", at positions 28 to 507 of the family's 1533-position model. The record is from RNAcentral.
GAUGAACGCUAGCUACAGGCUUAACACAUGCAAGUCGCGGGGCAGCAUGGGGUUUGCUUGCACUCCCCGAUGGCGACCGGCGUACGGGUGAGUAACGCUUAUCCAACCUGCCCUUCACCACGGGAUUACCCGGCGAAAUUCGGACUAAUACCGUAUGUCGUCCAUUUACGGCCUCCGAUUUGGACGUUCGGUUUGGCGCUGAAGGAUGGGGAUGCGUUCGUUUAGUUGGACGGCGGGGUGACGGCCCACCGUGGCGACGAUCGGUAGGGGUUCUGAGAGGAAGAUCAACAACACUAGAACUGAGACACCGUAAAGACUGCUACGGGAGGCAGAAGUGAGGAAUAUUGGUGAAUGGGCGUAAGCCUGAACCAACCAAGUAGCGUGCAGGAUGACGGCCAAAUGGGGUGUAAAAUGCUUUUAGGCGGGGAGAAAGUGGCCCACGGGGGGGAUUUUGCAGGUACCGCAUGAAUAAGGACCGGCUAAUUCCGUG